This 730-nucleotide ribosomal RNA is filed under the name uncultured bacterium. Its description in RNAcentral is "bacterial SSU rRNA". It matches the Rfam family "Bacterial small subunit ribosomal RNA", at positions 771 to 1501 of the family's 1533-position model. The record is from RNAcentral.
AACAGGAUUAGAUACCCUGGUAGUCCACGCUGUAAACGAUGUCGACUUGGAGGUUGUUCCCUUGAGGAGUGGCUUCCGGAGCUAACGCGUUAAGUCGACCGCCUGGGGAGUACGGCCGCAAGGUUAAAACUCAAAUGAAUUGACGGGGGCCCGCACAAGCGGUGGAGCAUGUGGUUUAAUUCGAUGCAACGCGAAGAACCUUACCUACUCUUGACAUCCAGAGAACUUAGCAGAGAUGCUUUGGUGCCUUCGGGAACUCUGAGACAGGUGCUGCAUGGCUGUCGUCAGCUCGUGUUGUGAAAUGUUGGGUUAAGUCCCGCAACGAGCGCAACCCUUAUCCUUUGUUGCCAGCGGUCCGGCCGGGAACUCAAAGGAGACUGCCAGUGAUAAACUGGAGGAAGGUGGGGAUGACGUCAAGUCAUCAUGGCCCUUACGAGUAGGGCUACACACGUGCUACAAUGGCAUAUACAAAGAGAAGCGACCUCGCGAGAGCAAGCGGACCUCAUAAAGUAUGUCGUAGUCCGGAUUGGAGUCUGCAACUCGACUCCAUGAAGUCGGAAUCGCUAGUAAUCGUGGAUCAGAAUGCCACGGUGAAUACGUUCCCGGGCCUUGUACACACCGCCCGUCACACCAUGGGAGUGGGUUGCAAAAGAAGUAGGUAGCUUAACCUUCGGGAGGGCGCUUACCACUUUGUGAUUCAUGACUGGGGUGAAGUCGUAACAAGGUAACC